GGCCGCGACCACACCACGUUGGAUCACCGAAGUUAAUCAACGUCGGGCCCGGUUAGUACUCGCAUGGGUGACCGGCUUGGAAUACCGGAAGUUGUGUCCG
Molecule: ribosomal RNA, 100 nt
Filed under: Echinostoma caproni
Lineage: Eukaryota; Metazoa; Platyhelminthes; Trematoda; Plagiorchiida; Echinostomatidae
Source: RNAcentral